Molecule: long non-coding RNA, 680 nt
Organism: Vigna unguiculata (cowpea)
Lineage: Eukaryota; Viridiplantae; Streptophyta; Magnoliopsida; Fabales; Fabaceae
Source: RefSeq, a predicted model, not a curated record
CGUUCGUGAUGUUCUUAUAUUAACUCGGAAGUGUUGUAGUCAUCCCUAACAAGGGUCUCGAACCGUCUCAGUAUCUUGAUUUUGAUUUAAAAGCAAGUGGCAAGUUGCAACUUCUUGAUUCAAUGCUUGAGGAGUUGAGAAAAAGUGAUUUAAGGGUGCUCAUUCUUUUUCAGCAAUAUGAUAAAAAAUCUGGACAAGAAAAGAACAGAAUUGGCUUUGUACAUUUUGCAGAGAGGUCCAAUGCUAUGAAAGCACUGAAAGAUAUGAAUUAGAAGGUAAAGUUUUAGAGUGCUCUUUGGCAAAGCCACGGUCUGAUCAAAAGUCUGGAGGGUCAAACACACAGAAGUUAGGACCAGGAUUGCUUGCAAGUUAUCCACAACAUGUCGGUUAUGGUUUGGUUGGCGGUGCCUAUGGUGCACUAGGUGCUGGAUAUCAUGCUCUAGGUCUUGCACAGGUUUCUGAUCAAGAGAGUGUGCCAACUAAUACAACAAGUUCUGUACAUGAGGAAAAUCAUGUGAUAGUUGAAGAAUAUAAUAUAAUGUGGAAGUUAAUGAAUCAUUUUAUGUUUUGAGAACCAUUGCAGUACUUCAUGAUAGUUUUUGCUGACUAAUAUUGUACUUGAAUUUGAAUUUGAAUUCGUAUAUUUGUUAUACUUUGAUAUACAUUUAGUCAUCUAUAAA